GUAGGUGGCAAGCGUUGUCCGGAAUUAUUGGGCGUAAAGCGCGCGCAGGCGGUUCUUUAAGUCUGAUGUGAAAGCCCACGGGCUCAACCGUGGAGGGUCAUUGGAAACUGGAGAACUUGAGUACAGAAGAGGAAAGCGGAAUUCCACGUGUAGCGGUGAAAUGCGUAGAGAUGUGGAGGAACACCAGUGGCGAAGGCGGCUUUCUGGUCUGUAACUGACGCUGAGGCGCGAAAGCGUGGGGAGCAAACAGGAUUAGAUACCCUGGUAGUCCACGCCGUAAACGAUGAGUGCUAAGUGUUAGGGGGUUUCCGCCCCUUAGUGGUGCAGCUAACGCAUUAAGCACUCCGCCUGGGGAGUACGGCCGCAAAGGCUG
RNAcentral lists this ribosomal RNA (373 nucleotides) under uncultured organism. Its description in RNAcentral is "partial 16S ribosomal RNA". It matches the Rfam family "Bacterial small subunit ribosomal RNA", at positions 527 to 896 of the family's 1533-position model. The record is from RNAcentral.